RNAcentral lists this unclassified non-coding RNA (354 nucleotides) under soil metagenome. RNAcentral describes it as "partial contains 5.8S ribosomal RNA, internal transcribed spacer 2, and large subunit ribosomal RNA". The stretch from base 1 to 120 matches the Rfam family "5.8S ribosomal RNA", at positions 35 to 154 of the family's 154-position model. The record is from RNAcentral.
GAUGAAGAACGUAGCGAAAUGCGAUAAGUAGUGUGAAUUGCAGAAUUCAGUGAAUCAUCGAAUCUUUGAACGCACAUUGCGCCUCCUGGUAUUCCGGGAGGCAUGCCUGUUCGAGCGUCAUUAAAAUCACUCAAGCUUAGGUUUACCUAUUGCUUGGUCUUGGAGAUGGAAGCCAAUUCAUUGGAAUCCUCUUCGAAAUCCAAUGGCGAAGACCCUUGCUCUCCCAAGUGUAGUAAUAACUUAUGUCACUGAAGGAAGCGAGAAAUCUUCCGCCGUAACCCCCAUAUUUUCUAUGAUUGACCUCGUAUCAGGUAGGGAUACCCGCUGAACUUAAGCAUAUCAAUAAGCGGAGGA